GACGGUACCUGAGGAAUCAGCCUCGGCUAACUCCCUUGCCAGCAGCCGCGGUAAUACGGAGGAGGCAAGCGUUAUCCGCAAUUAUUGGGCGUAAAGCGUCCGCAGGUGGCGAUUCAAGUCUGCUGUCAAAGCACGGGGCUUAACUCCGUAAAGGCAGUGGAAACUGAAUAGCUAGAGUGCCGUAGGGGUAGAGGGAAUUCCCGGUGUAGCGGUGAAAUGCGUAGAGAUGCGGGAAGAACAUCGGUGGCGAAAGCGCUCUACUGGACGGCAACUG
RNAcentral lists this ribosomal RNA (274 nucleotides) under uncultured Chroococcales cyanobacterium. RNAcentral describes it as "partial 16S ribosomal RNA". It matches the Rfam family "Bacterial small subunit ribosomal RNA", at positions 471 to 742 of the family's 1533-position model. Lineage: Bacteria; Bacillati; Cyanobacteriota; Cyanophyceae; Chroococcales. The record is from RNAcentral.